RNAcentral lists this ribosomal RNA (279 nucleotides) under uncultured Oscillospiraceae bacterium. Its description in RNAcentral is "partial 16S ribosomal RNA". It matches the Rfam family "Bacterial small subunit ribosomal RNA", at positions 511 to 788 of the family's 1533-position model. The record is from RNAcentral. Lineage: Bacteria; Bacillati; Bacillota; Clostridia; Eubacteriales; Oscillospiraceae.
GCAGCCGCGGUAAUACGUAGGGGGCAAGCGUUAUCCGGAAUUACUGGGUGUAAAGGGAGCGUAGGCGGCAUGUCAAGCCAGAUGUGAAAGCCCGGGGCUUAACCCCGAGGAUUGCAUUUGGAACUGGCAAGCUAGAGUACAGGAGAGGAAAGCGGAAUUCCUAGUGUAGCGGUGAAAUGCGUAGAUAUUAGGAAGAACACCAGUGGCGAAGGCGGCUUUCUGGACUGAAACUGACGCUGAGGCUCGAAAGCGUGGGGAGCAAACAGGAUUAGAUACCCC